AAGAGUAACUUGGUGUUGAGCUGGCCCUAUCGGGCAUGUGCUCGCAUCAUAUUAUUUAUCUAUCUCUUGUGCACCUUUUGUAGUCUUUGAAGUGUUCGCAGUCAAUGCGGUUUGGGGCUUGGGCUUUUGCGGUCCUUUCCCUGUUUGCUUCAAAGGCUAUGUUUUAUACACACUAUUGAAGUUACAGAAUGUCUCUUAUUGACCUUUGAGUCAGUAAAUCAAUA
RNAcentral lists this unclassified non-coding RNA (224 nucleotides) under uncultured Mycena. RNAcentral's name for it is "sequence contains ITS1". Lineage: Eukaryota; Fungi; Basidiomycota; Agaricomycetes; Agaricales; Tricholomataceae. The record is from RNAcentral.